GGAUCAUUACACAAUAAGAAGGCGGGCUGGAUACCCCCAGCGGUAGCAUCGCUUCACGGCGUGCGCAGCUGGGCCGGCCUUGCUGAAUUAUUCACCCGUGUCUUUUGCGUACUUGCUGUUUCCUGGGCGAGGUCGCCCGCCCUCAGGGAACAAAACAUUAAACCUUUUGGCAAUAGCCAAUCAGCGUCAGGUACCCAAUGUUAAUUAACAUUUACAGCUUCCAAACCAAGGGAUCUCCUGGGGUCCUGGCCUCGAAUGAAGAACCCCCAGCGAAAAUUGCGAAUAACGUUAAGUGUGAAUUGCCGGAAAUUUCAGUUGAAUCAUCGGAAAUUCUUGGGAACGCCCCAUUUGCGGCCCCUUAAGGUAUUCCCAAAGGGGCCAUGCCUUGUUUCGAACCGGUCCUUUUGUAUCCCUUCAAGCCUUUGGCAGAGGUGUAGGGCGUCUUGGUCUCCCCGAUUUGGCGGGAGACUCGCCUUUAAAGUCUUUGGCCGGCGGCCUACUGGUUUCGGAGCGCAGCACAAGUCGCGCUCUCUUCCAGCCAAGGUCAGCGUCCAGUAAGCCUUUUUUCAACCUUUGACCUCGGAUCAGGUAGGGAUACCCGCUGAACUUAAGCAUAUCAAUAAGCGUGAGGAAAAGAAACCAACAGGGAUUGCCCUAGUAACGGCGAGUGAAGCGGCAACAGUUAAGUUCCGGCCUCCGGUAGAAUCAGACACUCCGUUGUACUCUACAGAGAUCAACCCCACUGCUUCUCUGCACUAGCUACCUCGUCAGAUGUGAC
Molecule: ribosomal RNA, 778 nt
Filed under: uncultured Alternaria
Lineage: Eukaryota; Fungi; Ascomycota; Dothideomycetes; Pleosporales; Pleosporaceae
Description: eukaryotic LSU rRNA
Rfam family: Eukaryotic large subunit ribosomal RNA (bases 575-778)
Source: RNAcentral